CCUUGACAUACUAAGAACUUUCCAGAGAUGGAUUGGUGCCUUCGGGAACUUAGAUACAGGUGCUGCAUGGCUGUCGUCAGCUCGUGUCGUGAGAUGUUGGGUUAAGUCCCGCAACGAGCGCAACCCUUUUCCUUAUUUGCCAGCGGGUCAUGCCGGGAACUUUAAGGAUACUGCCAGUGACAAACUGGAGGAAGGCGGGGACGACGUCAAGUCAUCAUGGCCCUUACGGCCAGGGCUACACACGUGCUACAAUGGUCGGUACAAAGGGUUGCUACCUCGCGAGAGGAUGCUAAUCUCAAAAAAGCCGAUCGUAGUCCGGAUCGCAGUCUGCAACUCGACUGCGUGAAGUCGGAAUCGCUAGUAAUCGCGGAUCAGAAUGCCGCGGUGAAUACGUUCCCGGGCCUUGUACACACCGCCCGUCACACCAUGGGAGUUUGUUGCACCAGAAGUAGGUAGUCUAACCGCAAGGAGGACGCUUACCACGGUGUGGCCGAUGACUGGGGUGAAGUCGUAACAAGGUAGGCGUAGAUGA
Molecule: ribosomal RNA, 532 nt
Filed under: uncultured bacterium
Lineage: Bacteria
Description: bacterial SSU rRNA
Rfam family: Bacterial small subunit ribosomal RNA
Source: RNAcentral